UAAACUAAAAUUUGUAUGGAGUUGGUAAGUUUGCCUACGUUUGCCGCUAGUGGCGCUGUUACAACUGCAUACAAAUGUAACUUU
This 84-nucleotide microRNA precursor is filed under the name Bombyx mori (domestic silkworm). Its description in RNAcentral is "mir-2807 microRNA precursor family". It matches the Rfam family "mir-2807 microRNA precursor family". Lineage: Eukaryota; Metazoa; Arthropoda; Insecta; Lepidoptera; Bombycidae. The record is from Rfam by way of RNAcentral.